CCUACGGGUGGCAGCAGUGGGGAAUAUUGGACAAUGGGCGAAAGCCUGAUCCAGCCAUGCCGCGUGUGUGAAGAAGGCCUUCAGGUUGUAAAGCACUUUCAGUGGGGAAGAAAGCCUUGGGGCUAAUACCCUCGAGGAAGGACAUCACCCACAGAAGAAGCACCGGCUAACUCCGUGCCAGCAGCCGCGGUAAUACGGAGGGUGCGAGCGUUAAUCGGAAUUACUGGGCGUAAAGCGCGCGUAGGCGGUCUGAUAAGCCGGUUGUGAAAGCCCCGGGCUCAACCUGGGAACGGCAUCCGGAACUGUCAGGCUAGAGUGCAGGAGAGGAAGGUAGAAUUCCCGGUGUAGCGGUGAAAUGCGUAGAGAUCGGGAGGAAUACCAGUGGCGAAGGCGGCCUUCUGGACUGACACUGACGCUGAGGUGCGAAAGCGUGGGUAGCAAACAGGAUUAGAUACCCCGGUAGUC
Molecule: ribosomal RNA, 465 nt
Filed under: Vreelandella stevensii
Lineage: Bacteria; Pseudomonadati; Pseudomonadota; Gammaproteobacteria; Oceanospirillales; Halomonadaceae
Description: partial 16S ribosomal RNA
Rfam family: Bacterial small subunit ribosomal RNA
Source: RNAcentral